This 133-nucleotide ribosomal RNA is filed under the name uncultured bacterium. RNAcentral describes it as "partial 16S ribosomal RNA". The record is from RNAcentral.
GGAGUUAGCCGAUGCUUAUUCUCAGGUACCGUCAUUUUAUUCCUCCCUGAGAAAAGAGGUUUACAAUCCAAGAACCUUCCUCCCUCACGCGGUAUUGCUCCGUCAGGCUUUCGCCCAUUGCGGAAAAUUCCCC